Molecule: long non-coding RNA, 593 nt
Filed under: Pan troglodytes (chimpanzee)
Lineage: Eukaryota; Metazoa; Chordata; Mammalia; Primates; Hominidae
Description: lincRNA
Source: RNAcentral
UGCAAAGUUCUCCAUUGUCAGAUUACGCUGCCUGAUGGGCAUGAAAAGUCCACAAAAGAGAAUUUUCUGAUGUGAGAAUGGAGGGUGUUGCCUGCAACUACCCCAGAUCCCUGCGGUGGCAGUUUAAGCCGCCUCCUGGAGCAGAUUGUUAAGCUGAUGCGAGUCUGGGCUCUGCCUCACCACUUGUCUCAGAGACAGAGUCUUGCUCUGUCACCUAGGCUGGAGUGCAGUGGUGCCAUCACAGCUCACUGCAGCCUCGACCUCCCCGUGCUCAAGUGAUCCUCACACCUCAGCCUCCCGAGUAGCCGCGAUCACAAGUUAAACAAACACAGUUCUUUACAUCAGUGCUUCCGUCCCUGGCCACCUGGUCUCCUGUCCUCUCCAGACCCAAAACCAUGGGCUGGGCUGCAGCAAAAUGAGGGUGUACUCAGUGCACUGAGGCCCAUGUACCAUGAGAGAUGGUGAGAGAAAGCCUUGGCCAGAGUUUAAGGAUUUGGGGCUGGGCACAGUGGCUCGUGCCUGUAAUCCUAGCACUUUGGGAGGCCAGGGCAGGAGGAUCACUUGAGGCCAAGAGUUUGAGACCAGCCUGAGCA